GAUGAACGCUGGCGGCGUGCUUAACACAUGCAAGUCGAACGGGAAUUAUUUUAUUGAAACUUCGGUCGAUUUAAUUUAAUUCUAGUGGCGGACGGGUGAGUAACGCGUGGGUAACCUGCCUUAUACAGGGGGAUAACAGUCAGAAAUGGCUGCUAAUACCGCAUAAGCGCACAGAGCUGCAUGGCUCAGUGUGAAAAACUCCGGUGGUAUAAGAUGGACCCGCGUUGGAUUAGCUUGUUGGCAGGGUAACGGCCUACCAAGGCGACGAUCCAUAGCCGGCCUGAGAGGGUGAACCGCCACAGUGGGACUGAGACACGGCCCAGACUCCUACGGGAGGCAGCAGUGGGGAAUAUUGCACAAUGGGGGAAACCCUGAUGCAGCGACGCCGCGUGAAGGAAGAAGUAUCUCGGUAUGUAAACUUCUAUCAGCAGGGAAGAUAGUGACGGUACCUGACUAAGAAGCCCCGGCUAACUACGUG
Molecule: ribosomal RNA, 478 nt
Filed under: uncultured bacterium
Lineage: Bacteria
Description: partial 16S ribosomal RNA
Rfam family: Bacterial small subunit ribosomal RNA
Source: RNAcentral